AAACUGCGAAUACCGGAGAAUGUUAUCACGGGAGACACACGGCGGGUGCUAACGUCCGUCGUGAAGAGGGAAACAACCCAGACCGCCAGCUAAGGUCCCAAAGUCAUGGUUAAGUGGGAAACGAUGUGGGAAGGCCCAGACAGCCAGGAUGUUGGCUUAGAAGCAGCCAUCAUUUAAAGAAAGCGUAAUAGCUCACUGGUCGAGUCGGCCUGCGCGGAAGAUGUAACGGGGCUAAACCAUGCACCGAAGCUGCGGCAGCGACGCUUAUGCGUUGUUGGGUAGGGGAGCGUUCUGUAAGCCUGUGAAGGUGUACUGUGAGGUAUGCUGGAGGUAUCAGAAGUGCGAAUGCUGACAUAAGUAACGAUAAAGCGGGUGAAAAGCCCGCUCGCCGGAAGACCAAGGGUUCCUGUCCAACGUUAAUCGGGGCAGGGUGAGUCGACCCCUAAGGCGAGGCCGAAAGGCGUAGUCGAUGGGAAACAGGUUAAUAUUCCUGUACUUGGUGUUACUGCGAAGGGGGGACGGAGAAGGCUAUGUUGGCCGGGCGACGGUUGUCCCGGUUUAAGCGUGUAGGCUGGUUUUCCAGGCAAAUCCGGAAAAUCAAGGCUGAGGCGUGAUGACGAGGCACUACGGUGCUGAAGCAACAAAUGCCCUGCUUCCAGGAAAAGCCUCUAAGCAUCAGGUAACAUCAAAUCGUACCCCAAACCGACACAGGUGGUCAGGUAGAGAAUACCAAGGCGCUUGAGAGAACUCGGGUGAAGGAACUAGGCAAAAUGGUGCCGUAACUUCGGGAGAAGG
RNAcentral lists this ribosomal RNA (795 nucleotides) under Escherichia coli. Its description in RNAcentral is "partial 23S ribosomal RNA". It matches the Rfam family "Bacterial large subunit ribosomal RNA", at positions 951 to 1746 of the family's 2925-position model. Lineage: Bacteria; Pseudomonadati; Pseudomonadota; Gammaproteobacteria; Enterobacterales; Enterobacteriaceae. The record is from RNAcentral.